UACGUAGGGUGCGAGCGUUAAUCGGAAUUACUGGGCGUAAAGCGUGCGCAGGCGGUUUUGUAAGCCAGGUGUGAAAUCCCCGGGCUCAACCUGGGAAUGGCAUUUGGGACUGCAAGGCUUGAGUGCGGCAGAGGAGACUGGAAUUCCUGGUGUAGCAGUGAAAUGCGUAGAUAUCAGGAGGAAUACCGAUGGCGAAGGCAGGUCUCUGGGCUGACACUGACGUUCAUGCACGAAAGCGUGGGGAGCAAACAGG
RNAcentral lists this ribosomal RNA (253 nucleotides) under uncultured bacterium. RNAcentral describes it as "partial 16S ribosomal RNA". It matches the Rfam family "Bacterial small subunit ribosomal RNA", at positions 524 to 776 of the family's 1533-position model. The record is from RNAcentral.